Non-coding RNA from Daucus carota subsp. sativus, 79 nucleotides. NCBI's taxonomy places the organism in Eukaryota, Viridiplantae, Streptophyta, Magnoliopsida, Apiales, Apiaceae. The record is from Rfam.
GAAAGUCGUAUGCUUUGGAAGAAGCUUGUACAGUUUGGGAAGGGGUUUUGAUUGAUCAAGAAGAAGUAUCUACUUCAAU